AUGAACGCUAGCUACAGGCUUAACACAUGCAAGUCGAGGGGCAGCAUGACCUAGCAAUAGGUUGAUGGCGACCGGCGCACGGGUGAGUAACACGUAUCCAACCUGCCGAUUAUUCCGGGAUAGCCUUUCGAAAGAAAGAUUAAUACUGGAUAGCAUAACGAGAAGGCAUCUUCUUGUUAUUAAAGAAUUUCGAUAAUCGAUGGGGAUGCGUUCCAUUAGUUUGUUGGCGGGGUAACGGCCCACCAAGACAUCGAUGGAUAGGGGUUCUGAGAGGAAGGUCCCCCACAUUGGAACUGAGACACGGUCCAAACUCCUACGGGAGGCAGCAGUGAGGAAUAUUGGUCAAUGGACGAGAGUCUGAACCAGCCAAGUAGCGUGAAGGAUGACUGCCCUAUGGGUUGUAAACUUCUUUUAGAUGGGAAUAAAGUGGGCCACGUGUGGCUUUUUGUAUGUACCAUACGAAUAAGGAUCGGCUAACUCCGUG
Molecule: ribosomal RNA, 484 nt
Filed under: uncultured bacterium
Lineage: Bacteria
Description: partial 16S ribosomal RNA
Rfam family: Bacterial small subunit ribosomal RNA
Source: RNAcentral